Molecule: ribosomal RNA, 444 nt
Filed under: uncultured bacterium
Lineage: Bacteria
Description: partial 16S ribosomal RNA
Rfam family: Bacterial small subunit ribosomal RNA
Source: RNAcentral
CCUACGGGAGGCAGCAGUGGGGAAUAUUGGGCAAUGGACGCAACUCUUACGCAGCAAUGCCGCGUGAAUGAAGAAGGUCUUCGGAUCGUAAAGUUCUUUAAUCGGGGACGAAAAAAAUGACGGUACCCAAGGAAUAAGUUCCGGCUAACUACGUGCAAGCAGCCGCGGGAAUACGUAAGGGGCAAGCGUUGAACGGGAUGACUGGGCGGAAAGGGCGUGAAGGCGGGGUAGCAAGGUAGAAGGGAAAUACCCAGAGCUUAACGUAGGUGCUGCCUCUAAAACUGGUAAACUUGAGUGCAGUAGAGGAUAGUGGAAUUCCUAGUGUAGCGGUGGAAUGCGUAGAUAUUAGGAGGAACAUCAGUGGCGAAGGCGACUUUCUGGACUGUAACUGACGCUGAGGCGCGAAAGUGUGGGGAGCAAACAGGAUUAGAUACCCUGGUAGUC